GCUAAACGCGAAGAACCUUACCUGGCCUUGACAUGCACUGGACCGACGCUGAAAGGCGUCUUCUCUUCGGAGCCGGUGCACAGGUGCUGCAUGGCUGUCGUCAGCUCGUGUCGUGAGAUGUUGCGUUAAGUCGCGCAACGAGCGCAACCCCUGUCCUUAGUUGCCAGCAUUCAGUUGGGCACUCUAGGGAGACAAACCCUCUCUGAGGGUGGGAAGGUGGGGAUGACGUCAAGUCAGGAUGGCCCUUACGGCCAGGGCUGCACACGUGCUACAAUGCCCGGUACAGAGGGAAGCAAGACCGCGAGGUGGAGCAAAUCCUCAAAACCGGGCCCAGUUCAGAUUGCAGUCUGCAACUCGACUGCAUGAAGUUGGAAUCGCUAGUAAUGGCGUAUCAGCUACGACGCCGUGAAUACGUUCCCGGGUCUUGUACACACCG
RNAcentral lists this ribosomal RNA (436 nucleotides) under uncultured bacterium. Its description in RNAcentral is "bacterial SSU rRNA". It matches the Rfam family "Bacterial small subunit ribosomal RNA", at positions 954 to 1392 of the family's 1533-position model. The record is from RNAcentral.